AUGAGUUACUCAAAUCCACCGAGCACUAUAAAUGAUCGAUUCAUAUCCUCUAGUUCAACGUCAGAUAAGAAUAAAAACCAUAUUUCUCAUUCAACUGAGAAAAUACAACACCUGACUCCGAGUACAGAACAAUAUUUUUACACCGGCCCGAGCACAGAGAAAAAAUACUUUUCAAAUUACCAGACGCCUACCACCGAGAAACUUCAUUAUCCAAGUUAUACAACUGAUAAGCAGCACUCCCCCACAGGAACUACAGAAAAUAAAUAUUUCUCAUCCCUUAGUUCCCCUAGUUCCUUAGUAGAAAAUAAUGGGCAACCUAAUUUAUCUACUGAGGGAAGUUAUGUUACAAUAUCAACUUCAGAAAAACACUAUUUGACGAACUCAAUUAAAGAUAAAAUAAAAAAUUCAACGCCGAGUCCCGAUAAAACUUCGCAAUCCUCUCAAAACACAAACACACACUCAAGUUCGACUAAUAAUAAAUACACGCCUUUUGGACACAGUUCAGAAAAACCAAUGCAUCCGUCACAAAAUACCGAUAGAAAUAAUUACGUGAUGCACAGCACUGAAAAAUAUGUGCAUACGCUCUCCAAUUCAAAUAAAUUUGAUCACGCACCUUUAUCCUCCAUCAAAACAGAUCUAGUUAGUUCCACAGAGAAGUUCAGUCCUGUCUCCUUUUCUGCAAAACCAUCUUCGACGACAAACAAAUACUAUACGACACCAAAACCGGAGUAUCCUUCUUUCAGCUCUGAAAAAUUACAAGCCAUACAUAACUCAUCGCCGAGUUUCUAUUACAUGAAAGAAUCAACUGCAUCACCCUCAGUCACAUCGACAACUUAUUCUACUCCAUUUAAAACACAAUCUAUCUCUUUGAACGAUGAAAUGGCUGCAUCAUUAUCAGAUGUUAUUUCUCAAAUGACUGCUCAACCUUCCGGUGUCACAAAUCACCUCUCGACGAUUCUAGUUCCGACAACAUCUAAAACGUCCAUUCAGUACCACUCGAGCUCAAAUAAGCAACCAGAUAAGUAUGCUACUAAAUUCGCCUCUCAUACGACACCGAUGGUAACAACAGCACCGAUCUCGCACAGUACAACAACCGCUCAACCAUAUUUCACAAAAACCACUACUUAUAAUAAACUUUCAACGUUCAACAAUUUCACCAAAAUAAAGCCAAUGUUCACGACUUCUAAUAGAAUUAAUCCAUCUACCACUCAUUCGCAGUUCCAAAAUAAGAUCUCUUCUCCUUACCCAUCAACCAUCGAUCAAACGAGAAAGCAACCCUCGUCAACGAAUAAAAUCGCUACAAAUGAUGUACCAUUCUCAUCCAGCUCAAAUAGGAUUGUGCAAUACAAUUAUUCUGCAGACUUUAGAAAUAAUCCUACGACAAUAUCUGCCGCAACAUCAUCACCGUCUGUUUCUACCGGUGCCACAGCCAGCUCCUCAAGAAAACCAGCAUCAUCUACCACAGAAGCACCAACAGUGAUCAUAGCCGCUACCACUACGUCAUCAACAACAACAUCAACCACCACAACAACU
This 1533-nucleotide long non-coding RNA is filed under the name Bemisia tabaci. RNAcentral describes it as "lncRNA ENSSSA1NGG003955". Lineage: Eukaryota; Metazoa; Arthropoda; Insecta; Hemiptera; Aleyrodidae. The record is from RNAcentral.